UCAACAAACUGUCGAUUAUCCGAGUUUCAAGCUCGUGAUUGUUGGAGAUGGAGGCACUGGUAAUUUCCUCACGUUUCCCUCCUUUUCUUUUUUUUUUAAAUUUAAUUUGGUUUUUAUUCUGUAAUUUUCGUUUUGGACUUGUUAAUUGAUGUGUUGAGCUAGGUAUUUAAGUACCAUUAGUCCCUUGACAUUCGUUUUGAAUUAAUAUUUCAGUGAACUUAUUAGUGAUAUGUGUAAAGCUUCUUAUGGUUAAUUCAAACUUUUAUGUUAAUUGAAAAUUUUAUUGGCUAGGUGAAAAAUGC
Molecule: unclassified non-coding RNA, 302 nt
Filed under: Hevea brasiliensis (rubber tree)
Lineage: Eukaryota; Viridiplantae; Streptophyta; Magnoliopsida; Malpighiales; Euphorbiaceae
Source: RNAcentral